AACCUAGCACACCUGCGGUGUGUACCUGCGGAAGGAUCAUUACAGAGUUGCAAAACUCCCUAAACCAUUGUGAACGUUACCUAAACCGUUGCUUCGGCGGGCGGCCCGGGUCCUUCCCGGCGCCCAUCGGCCCUCGCGGGCGCCCGCCGGAGGUAAACCAAACUAUUGCAUUGUAUGGCCUCUCUGAGUCUUCUGUACUGAAUAAGUCAAAACUUUUAACAAUGGAUCUCAGAUCGGAAG
Molecule: unclassified non-coding RNA, 240 nt
Filed under: soil metagenome
Description: partial contains 5.8S ribosomal RNA, internal transcribed spacer 2, and large subunit ribosomal RNA
Source: RNAcentral